Molecule: non-coding RNA, 117 nt
Filed under: Rothia mucilaginosa
Lineage: Bacteria; Bacillati; Actinomycetota; Actinomycetes; Micrococcales; Micrococcaceae
Also listed under: 1 other name
Description: SAM-I sequence
Rfam family: SAM riboswitch aptamer (S box leader)
About the family: The SAM riboswitch is found upstream of a number of genes which code for proteins involved in methionine or cysteine biosynthesis in Gram-positive bacteria. The SAM riboswitch acts at the level of transcription termination control.
Source: RNAcentral
UAUCUAUCAAGAGCGACCGAGAGAUCUGGCUCGUCGACGUCGCAGCAACCUCGCCAGUAUCCCCCACCGUCACGGUGCAGGGUGCGGACAAGGUGCUCCCGCCAGAACCGAUAGAGA